AGUGGAAUUGCUGGGUCACAUGGUAAGUGUAUGUUUAACUUUGUAAGAAAUUGCCAAACGUGUUUCCCAAAGUAUCUGUGUAAUUUGGUAUUCCCACCAGCAGU
Molecule: microRNA precursor, 104 nt
Filed under: Marmota monax (woodchuck)
Lineage: Eukaryota; Metazoa; Chordata; Mammalia; Rodentia; Sciuridae
Source: RNAcentral